CUACGGGCCGCUGCAGUGAGGAAUAUUGGUCAAUGGACGAAAGUCUGAACCAGCCAUCCCGCGUGCAGGAAGAAUGCGCUAUGCGUUGUAAACUGCUUUUCCGGGGAAAGAAAAUUCCGCACGUGUGCGGAACUGACGGUACCCCGGGAAUAAGCAUCGGCUAACUCCGUGCCAGCAGCCGCGGUAAUACGGAGGAUGCGAGCGUUAUCCGGAUUUAUUGGGUUUAAAGGGUGCGUAGGCGGACUUAUAAGUCAGUGGUGAAACCUUCCGGCUCAACCGGGAACCUGCCAUUGAUACUGUUAGUCUUGAGUAUGGUCAAGGUAGGCGGAAUGUGUAAUGUAGCGGUGAAAUGCUUAGAUAUUACACAGAACACCGAUUGCGAAGGCAGCUUGCUGGACCAUUACUGACGCUGAGGCACGAAAGCGUGGGGAGCAAACAGGAUUAGAUACCCUCGUAGUC
RNAcentral lists this ribosomal RNA (459 nucleotides) under uncultured bacterium. Its description in RNAcentral is "partial 16S ribosomal RNA". It matches the Rfam family "Bacterial small subunit ribosomal RNA", at positions 339 to 795 of the family's 1533-position model. The record is from RNAcentral.